UGCCAGCCGCCGCGGUAAUACGUAGGGAGCGAGCGUUAUCCGGAAUUAUUGGGCGUAAAGCGUGCGUAGGCGGUUCGUUAAGUCAAAUCUGAAAGCCCACAGCUUAACUGUGGAGGGUGAUUUGAAACUGGCGAGCUUGAGUACGGCAGAGGUUAGUGGAAUUCAAUGUGUAGGAGUGAAAUCCGUAGAUAUUCGGAGGAACACCAGUGGCGAAGGCGGCUUUCUGGACCAAUACUGACGCUGAGAUGCGAAAGCGUGGGGAGCGAACAGGAUUAGAUA
Molecule: ribosomal RNA, 279 nt
Filed under: uncultured bacterium
Lineage: Bacteria
Description: partial 16S ribosomal RNA
Rfam family: Bacterial small subunit ribosomal RNA
Source: RNAcentral